Molecule: RNA transcript, 1180 nt
Organism: Mus pahari (shrew mouse)
Lineage: Eukaryota; Metazoa; Chordata; Mammalia; Rodentia; Muridae
Gene name: glyceraldehyde-3-phosphate dehydrogenase pseudogene
Exons: 2
Source: RefSeq, a predicted model, not a curated record
AUGGUGAAGGUCAAUGUGAACGGAUUUGGCUAUAUUGGGCGCCUGGUUACCAGGGCUGCCGUCUGCUCUCCACAUAGCAAAGUGGAGAUUGUUGCCAUCAAUGAUCCCUUCAUUGACCUCAACUACAUGGUCUCCAUGUUCCAGUAUGACUCCCCCCAUGGUAAAUUCAACAGCACAGUCAAGGCUGAGAAUGGGAAGCUUGUCAUCAACGGGAAGCCCAUCACCAUCUUCCAGGAGCGAGACGCUGCUAACAUCAAAUGGGGUGAUGCCGGUGCUGAGUAUGUCGGGGAGUCUACUGGCCUCUUUACCACCAUGGAGAAGGCCGGGGCCCACUUGAACGGUGGAGCCAAAAGGGUCAUCAUCUCUGCCCCUUCUCCAAAUAAACCCUUUCCUCCCCAACUGCUUCUUGGUCAUGAUGUUUGUGCAGGAAUAGAAACCCUGACUAAGACAGCUACCCUGGCCAAGGUCAUCCAUGACAACUUUGGCAUCGUGGAAGGGCUCAUGACCAUCACUGCCACUCAGAAGACUGUGGAUGGCCCCUCUAGAAAGCUGUGGCAUGAUGGCCGUGGGGCUGCCCAGAACACCAUCCCUGCAUUUACUGGUGCUGCCAAGGCUGUGGGCAAGGUCAUUCCAGAGCUGAACGGGAAGCUUACUGGCAUGGUCUUCUAUGUUCCUACCCACAAUAUGUCCGUCGUGGUUCUGACAUGCCACCUGGAGAAACCUGCCAAGUAUGACGACAUCAAGAAGGUGGUGAAGCAGGCAUCUGAGGGCCCACUGAAGGGCAUCCUGGGCUACACUGAGGACCAGGUUGUCUCUUGCAACUUCAACAGCAACUCCCACUCUUCCACCUUCGAUGCCGGGGCUGGCAUUGCUCUCAAUUACAACUUUGUCAAGCUUAUUUCCUGGUAUGACAAUGAAUACGACUACAGCAACAGGGUGGUGGACCUCAUGGCCUACAUGGCCUCUAAGGAGUAAGAAAUCCUGGACCACCCACCCCAGCAAGGACACUGAGAGCAAGAGAGAGGCCCUCAGUUGCUGAGGAGUCCCUAUCCCAACUCGGCCCCCAACACUGAGCACCUCCCUCACAAUUUCCACCCCAGACCCCCAUAAUAACAGGAAGGGGCUAGGGAGCCCUCCCUACUCUCUUGAAUACCAUCAAUAAAGUUCACUGCACCAAACA